This 497-nucleotide ribosomal RNA is filed under the name uncultured bacterium. RNAcentral describes it as "partial 16S ribosomal RNA". It matches the Rfam family "Bacterial small subunit ribosomal RNA", at positions 28 to 507 of the family's 1533-position model. The record is from RNAcentral.
GAUGAACGCUGGCGGCGUGCCUAAUACAUGCAAGUCGAGCGAACAGACGGUGAGCUUGCUCCUCUGACGUUAGCGGCGGACGGGUGAGUAACACGUGGAUAACCUACCUAUAAGACUGGGAUAACUUCGGGAAACCGGAGCUAAUACCGGAUAAUAUAUUCAACCGCAUGGUUCAAUAGUGAAAGGCGGUUUUGCUGUCACUUAUAGAUGGAUCCGCGCCGCAUUAGCUAGUUGGUAAGGUAACGGCUUACCAAGGCAACGAUGCGUAGCCGAGCUGAGAGGGUGAUCGGCCACACUGGAACUGAGACACGGUCCAGACUCCUACGGGAGGCAGCAGUAGGGAAUCUUCCGCAAUGGGCGAAAGCCUGACGCAGCAACGCCGCGUGAGUGAAGAAGGUCUUCGGAUCGUAAAACUCUGUUAUUAGGGAAGAAAAAAUGUGUAAGUAACUAUGCACGUCUUGACGGUACCUAAUCAGAAAGCAACGGCUAACUACGUG